GAUGAACGCUGGCGGCGUGCUUAACACAUGCAAGUCGAACGAAGCUGCUAAAAGAAAGUCUUCGGACGGGAUUUUAGUAGACUUAGUGGCGGACGGGUGAGUAACGCGUGGAUAACCUGCCUUAUACAGGGGGAUAACGGAGAGAAAUUUCCGCUAAGACCGCAUAAGACCACAGCACCGCAUGGUGCAGGGGUAAAAUAUUUAUAGGUAUAAGAUGGAUCCGCGUCCGAUUAGCUAGUUGGUGAGGUAGAGGCUCACCAAGGCGACGAUCGGUAGCCGGCCUGAGAGGGUGAACGGCCACAUUGGGACUGAGACACGGCCCAAACUCCUACGGGAGGCAGCAGCGGGGAAUAUUGGACAAUGGGGGAAACCCUGAUCCAGCGACGCCGCGUGAGUGAAGAAGUAUUUCGGUAUGUAAAGCUCUAUCAGCAGGGAAGAAAAUGACGGUACCUGACUAAGAAGCCCCGGCUAACUACGUGCCAGCAGCCGCGGUAAUACGUAGGGGGCAAGCGUUAUCCGGAUUUACUGGGUGUAAAGGGAGCGCAGACGGCGAAGCAAGUCUGAAGUGAAAUGCAUGGGCUCAACCCAUGAAUUGCUUUGGAAACUGUUUGGCUUGAGUGUCGGAGGGGUAAGCGGAAUUCCUAGUGUAGCGGUGAAAUGCGUAGAUAUUAGGAGGAACACCGGAGGCGAAGGCGGCUUACUGGACGACAACUGACGUUGAGGCUCGAAGGCGUGGGGAGCAAACAGG
This 748-nucleotide ribosomal RNA is filed under the name uncultured Lachnospiraceae bacterium. RNAcentral describes it as "bacterial SSU rRNA". It matches the Rfam family "Bacterial small subunit ribosomal RNA", at positions 28 to 776 of the family's 1533-position model. Lineage: Bacteria; Bacillati; Bacillota; Clostridia; Lachnospirales; Lachnospiraceae. The record is from RNAcentral.